AAAAAGAUAAGCUAAAUAAGCUUUUAGGUUCAUACCCUGACUAUAGAAGAUAAACUUCUUCUUUUUA
This 67-nucleotide transfer RNA is filed under the name Cyrtorhinus lividipennis. Its description in RNAcentral is "tRNA-Met". The record is from RNAcentral. Lineage: Eukaryota; Metazoa; Arthropoda; Insecta; Hemiptera; Miridae.